UGAGUAACCUGCCCUUAACUCUGGGAUAAGCCUGGGGAACUGGGUCUAAUACCGGAUAUGACUCCUCAUCGCAUGGGUGGGGGGUGGAAAGCUUUAUUGUGGUUUUGGAUGGACUCGCGGCCUAUCAGCUUGUUGGUGGGGUAAUGGCCUACCGAAGGCGACGAUCCGUAGCUGGUCUGAGAGGGCGACCGGCCACACGUGGGACUGGAGACCACGGCCCAGACCUCCGUACGGGGAGGCAG
This 242-nucleotide ribosomal RNA is filed under the name uncultured bacterium. Its description in RNAcentral is "partial 16S ribosomal RNA". It matches the Rfam family "Bacterial small subunit ribosomal RNA", at positions 118 to 351 of the family's 1533-position model. The record is from RNAcentral.